Long non-coding RNA from Polypterus senegalus (gray bichir), 1524 nucleotides. RefSeq lists it as uncharacterized. NCBI's taxonomy places the organism in Eukaryota, Metazoa, Chordata, Cladistia, Polypteriformes, Polypteridae. The record is from RefSeq and is a predicted model, not a curated record. The transcript has 3 exons.
ACAGAAAGGUUGACGCAGAGCGGAUACAGUAGGCGGGCUGAUCAAAAGAGAAAUACCCAUCGAGUAAAAUUUCCAAGUAGAAUAUAUUGCUGCAAUACCCUUCAGAAAAAUUUCACGGCUUGCUGUGUUGAACCGACGUGUAUGUCACGUCAUAGCGGCGCCGAAAAGUGAACCUUACAGCUGCGAUAGCUUUCAAUAAGAUUGCAGACUGCUGUUGAUUGAGCCGACUUUAAAAAGUAUCACAUCUCCCAGAGGCAAAGGGCCAUGCCACAGCUGGAAAGCAUCCAUGCAGAACUUGAGAAAACACCUAUGGGAAUAUUUGUGAUUCGCAAGGAUGAGGACAUUCUCCACCCACGCACCAAGGGACAUUGGGAUAGUUAUAGGUGGCAUGCAAGUGUUGAACAGGUUAACCUCCAUCGCAUCUGCUUGUGUUGUACUAUUUGGUCUUAUGUAUACCCACAAUUUGGAAUAUCCAAAGGGAGUGGAGCGUACUUUUUGAAGUGAUGCAGAAGAUCGUCUUGGAACUUUGAUGCAAAGUGCAUGCGCCGAGCAUUAGGCUGCUGAACCCAUAAACUUGGAAGGUGUCCGGCCGUUUAGCUUUUUUCUUGUUUUCCUGUCUCUUCUGUAUUUGAAGAUAUUUGCCCAAUAUUUUGAUGUUAGUUAACUAAAAAUACUAAUUCUUCAUUUUAGAAUGUUUUGCACUGUGAUAUUCGCAACACAGCAAUACUUCUUAAUAUCCAGUGUGGUUGGGCGGUGGAAGAACAGACUGAAAACAAUCAGAAUGUUGCGACACCAACAUCCCUUUUCAUUGUUGGGAAAUGAACAGACAAAAUAUAAAUAAAAGCAACGAAAAUAGCGCCUAUAUGCUAUCCCGAACAGUCAUUUCUUUCAAAGCAAUGAUCCUUUCAAGAGUCAAGUGCUCUGUCGUACGGAUCGUUCUGGUCUCCUAGCAAAAGACAUGUUUCUCUUUGCCGGCGCUUCCUUUGUAGCGGUACUUCCGGAAGGGGCGGGGUUAAGUGUCCUUGCCGGGCGGCUUCUCGGAGCUGUAAGGGAAGAAGAACAGGACAAGACUUCUGUCCCCUCACACUGGACAUCGACACGGCACACAGAGUCCUCCAUCUGUCUGAAGGAAACAAGAAGGUGACAUGUGAUGGGACAAAAGCCAAAUAUCCUGAUCAUCCUGAGAGAUUUGACCUCUGGGAACAAGUUCUGUGCAGAGAGGCUCUGACUGGGACUCGCUUUUAUUAGGAGGUGGAGUGGAGUGGAGGUGGACGCUUCACAGAGAUUGGAGUCGCAUAUAAAGGACUGGGCAGGAAAGGAGAGGGCGUGGAGUGUGGCUUUGGAAACAGCAACAAAUAAUCCUGGAGUUUGCUGUGUUCUCAUCCCAAGUACUCUGUGUAUCACAAAAACAAGGAGUCUGUAAUCAGCAUCCCCAACAGCCCCAGAAUGGGUGUGUAUCUGGACUGGCCUGCUGGCACUCUGUCAUUUUAUAGCGUCUCACACACAAUGACCCUCCUGUACAGG